GGGCUCCCAGUGCUUACCACAGGCUGUGUUCUAACACUGUGCAGAAAGAAGAGGCAGAGUAAAUCCAUCUCAUAUACACCUUAGCCCAAGCCCUUCACCUGGUCUGCAUUGUGAGUAGGGAGACAUGG
Small nucleolar RNA from Phyllostomus hastatus (greater spear-nosed bat), 128 nucleotides. RefSeq annotates it as small nucleolar RNA SNORA51. The record is from RefSeq and is a predicted model, not a curated record. The transcript has a single exon. NCBI's taxonomy places the organism in Eukaryota, Metazoa, Chordata, Mammalia, Chiroptera, Phyllostomidae.